This 70-nucleotide transfer RNA is filed under the name Oncorhynchus kisutch (coho salmon). It matches the Rfam family "tRNA". From Rfam's summary of the family: Transfer RNA (tRNA) molecules are approximately 80 nucleotides in length. Their secondary structure includes four short double-helical elements and three loops (D, anti-codon, and T loops). The record is from Rfam by way of RNAcentral. RNAcentral also lists the same sequence under 1 other name. Lineage: Eukaryota; Metazoa; Chordata; Actinopteri; Salmoniformes; Salmonidae.
GCAUUGGUUGUUCAGUGGUAGAAUUCUCGCCUGCCACGCGGAGGCCCGGGUUCGAUUCCCGGCCAAUGCA